AAGGAUCACAUAGAUCUUAAACUGAAGAGUUUGAUCAUGGCUCAGAUUGAACGCUGGCGGCAGGCCUAACACAUGCAAGUCGAGCGG
Molecule: ribosomal RNA, 87 nt
Filed under: Halomonas sp.
Lineage: Bacteria; Pseudomonadati; Pseudomonadota; Gammaproteobacteria; Oceanospirillales; Halomonadaceae
Description: partial 16S ribosomal RNA
Rfam family: Bacterial small subunit ribosomal RNA (bases 19-87)
Source: RNAcentral